Long non-coding RNA from Oncorhynchus tshawytscha (Chinook salmon), 1350 nucleotides. The record is from Ensembl. Lineage: Eukaryota; Metazoa; Chordata; Actinopteri; Salmoniformes; Salmonidae.
UAUGUGUGUGUGUGUGUGUGUAUGUGUGUGUGUGUGUGUGUGUGUGUGUGUGUGUGUGUGUGUGUGUGUGUGUGUGUGUGUGUGUGUGUGUGUGUGUGUGUGUGUGUGUGUGUGUGUGUGUGUGUGUGUGUGUGUGUGUGUGUGUGUGUGUGUGUGUGUGUGUCUGUAGCAGAAUCAGUUAAGACCCUCAAGGAGUUAGCCUAGCGGUUAAGAGCGGUAACCGAAAGGUUGCUGGUUCGAAACCCUGAGACGACUAGGUGAAUAAAUCGGUCGAUGUGCCCUUGAGCAAGGCACUAAUAACUCCUGUAAGUCGUUCUGGAUAAGAUCGUCUGCCAAAUGACUACUAUGUGGGAUUUUGUAACAGAGAUCAGGCGAGGCGAGGUGGCGAGGCCGUGGAGAGUUCAGCGGACAGGGGAUUGGCUCAGGGAGGUUUCAUCUCCGAGGGUCAAUCUGGCAGGUCAUCGUAACAGCAGACAGCACACCACACUCAGGCGUCUUCUGAACCACACCUGGCCCCCUGACUGAGUCUACAGCAUGCUCCAGGACUGGUGGCAUGUGUCAGGAUAAUGAUGAACAAAACAUUAGGAACACCUUCCUCAUAUUGAUUUGCACCACCCCCCUUUUGCCCUCAGAACAGCCUCAAACACUGGCAUGGUUUAAAGAGACUGUCAGUACGUGGAUUAAAUAGACUGUCAGUACAUGGUUUAAAUAGACUGUCAGUACGUAGCUGAUAAACACUGGCUUGGUUUAAAUAGACUGUCAGUACAUGGUUUAAAUAGACUGUCAGUACAUGGUUUAAAUAGACUGUCAGUACAUGGUUUAAAUAGACUGUCAGUACGUGGUUUAAAUAGACUUACAUGGUUUAAAUAGACUGUCAGUACAUGGUUUAAAUAGACUGUCAGUACGUGGUUUAAAUAGACUGUCAGUACAUGGUUUAAAUAGACUGUCAGUACAUGGUUUAAAUAGACUGUCAGUACGUAGCUGAUAAACACUGGCAUGGUUUUAAAACAGUGUACACGUUGAUCAACUGCUCUAUAUGGUGUAGAGAAUGAAAGGAAUUCCCCGUAGCUUCUGGCUUCUAGAACUAUUGCCUGUUUUUCAGCCAUAUUCUGUUAGGUUGCUUUAGCAACAAAAACCCUGCAAAAAAAACAACGAAAGGACUAAUCAUCAAGUAGCUUUGAAGCCUGUGAAGCUGUCAACUUUCUAGCUCUGGUAGCACUUACUUUGUGUUCGUCCCAACUGGCACCCUAUUCCCUACGUAGUGCACUACUUUUGACCUGGCCUGGUCUGCAGUAGUGCACCAUAUAGGGAAUAGGGUGCUAGUUGGGACGUGAGCCUCUGUGUUCUGUU